CAGCAGCCGCGGGAAUACAGAGGGUGCGAGCGUUAAUCGGAUUUACUGGGCGUAAAGCGUGCGUAGGCGGCUUCUUAAGUCGGAUGUGAAAUCCCUGAGCUUAACUUAGGAAUUGCAUUCGAUACUGGGAAGCUAGAGUAUGGGAGAGGAUGGUAGAAUUCCAGGUGUAGCGGUGAAAUGCGUAGAGAUCUGGAGGAAUACCGAUGGCGAAGGCAGCCAUCUGGCCUAAUACUGACGCUGAGGUGCGAAAGCGUGGGGAGCAAACAGGAUUAGAUACCCCGGUAGUCCCUGUCUCUUAUAC
This 301-nucleotide ribosomal RNA is filed under the name uncultured bacterium. Its description in RNAcentral is "partial 16S ribosomal RNA". It matches the Rfam family "Bacterial small subunit ribosomal RNA", at positions 509 to 807 of the family's 1533-position model. The record is from RNAcentral.